AAUGCUCUGAGCAUGCUUCAGUUUCGGGCUCUUGAGUAGUUCUCGCAGCAGCUCUGCUCUCUCCUUCCUCCGGUCCACGAACAUCUGUUGCAACAAAACAGGGCAUGUACUUCAGAAAAUGGCAUAAAGUUCAGUGCAUAUGCAUCUGUAUUGUACAAAAUUAGUACACAUGAUGUACUCCAUGCGCCGCUGUUACACCGAGCCAUGACGAGGUGGUCCAUGUCCAUGGCGUUUCCAUGUCCCGGGAGAUGGAUCGGAGGAGGAGAGAAACUAGGGAGGUGGGGCGGCCAUGGAGACAAAGAGAGGAGGAUAGGAACUAGAGAACAAGGACGGGCAAGCUUCAGCUGGCGUCCAUGGAGACGAACAGGGGAGGAGGAAGAGAGGAACUAGGGAUGGGGAUUGGGGAUUGGGUGAAACUUCAGACUUCUGCACGCCUCAUAUCUCUUCUGCACGUAGGCAAAACCGCUUGCAAAAACCACCAUAAUCAGCGACAUGGGGUGCUUUGCCUGGUUUUGGAUAGUCCAGGGGGUCAAUUAACCGGAAUUAGGGCUGGGGGUGUGGGUUAGCCUGUUUCUGAAACACCAGGGGGUGAUGUGGACUUCUUUCGAGUCCAUCACCGAGUCUCUCUAUCGCCGGAGCCCCGCGGAAGAAAAAUAAUCUCUCGCCGGGGAGGGGCCAAGCACAGCCCCGCCCCUCCCCGCCGUCGACGCUUCUCGAGACCCUUGUGACGGCGAGGAUUUCUGGGCCAGGCACGGCGACCCUUCGCCGGAGCUCGCAGGGGCGCAGCAGCCUUGGUACCGGAUCGGAUCUCGCGAGAUGUUUUUAGACGUGGCGGAACAGAGAGGAGAGGGCACUUCUCUUCUUCUUCAGAUGUGCGGCUCAGCCAAAAUUUGUGUCGGGUCAGAUGUUUGGUGAUACUUUCAAUAAGUCCUUGGACAUCAGAAACUGUAUGGGUUGGUGGGGCCUUGAUUUGUGAGAGCAUGUCGGUGAGAAGCCUCCUCAUAUCUGGAUCUCGAGACACCCGUAGAAAAGCCCGGUACUGGAACUUCCCUCCAUACCGGUGAUAUAAGGUCCUCGCAACUGCUGUCUUGUCAGAAGUUGCAGAUCCAAAGAUGCUUACCACCUUGAGUUCUUUUUCUAUCAAAUUGUCGUCGUGGUCGAAGGCCAGCAGCUUGAUGAGCUUGUCGACAUGGAGUUGGAUGGGAAGUCGGGCCAUGGGGUGGCUGAUACCGGCGCUGGCGGCUUGUGAAUAGUCAUGUUUGCUGGCUUCCGGUGGAGAAAUCUUGAAUCUUUCGCGUCUUUCAUCUACAUCCUCGACACGAGCUAGCAAUGCUAAUAAUUUUGCAAUCAUGAGGCCUCGCUUCAACCUUUUCACUUUUGGCAACGAAACCCAGGUGAGCCUACGGGAAACCCGAAAGAUCUUGGAUCCAAGACGUUUCCCCAAAAAAAUACGGAUCUUACCCCUACCAGUACCGGAGUAUUGGAUGAAGUGCAUGACCUGGUCGGGGUAGUCUGUUUUAUCAUAGCACAGAUCCCGGACCUGCCUCAUCCAGCACCUGGUAAUGCUAUCCUGCGGCGCCUCAAAUAGAUCCUUGCUAAAUCCGUUGCACAAUCCCUUGAGUCCUUGGCCGAGAAACA
Triticum aestivum (bread wheat) is the source of this 1638-nucleotide long non-coding RNA. RefSeq lists it as uncharacterized. The transcript is spliced from 3 exons. The record is from RefSeq and is a predicted model, not a curated record. NCBI's taxonomy places the organism in Eukaryota, Viridiplantae, Streptophyta, Magnoliopsida, Poales, Poaceae.